CCUACGGGAGGCAGCAGUGAGGAAUAUUGGUCAAUGGGCGCGAGCCUGACCCAGCCAAGUAGCGUGAAGGAUGACUGCCCUACGGGUUGUAAACUUCUUUUAUAAAGGAAUACAGUGAGGCACGUGUUCCUUUUUGUAUGUACUUUAUGAAUAAGGAUCGCCUAACUUCGUGCCAGCAGCCGCGGUAAUACGGAGGAUCCGAGCGUUAUCCGGAUUGAUUGGGUUUAAAGGGAGCGUAGAUGGGUUGUUAAGUCAGUUGUGAAAGUUUGCGGCUCAACCGUAAAAUUGCAAUUGAUACUGGCAGACGUGAGUACAGUUGAGGUAGGCGGAAUUCGUGGUGUAGCGGUGAAAUGCUUAGAUAUCACGAAGAACUCCGAUUGCGAAGGCAGCCUACUAGAAUGCCACUGACAUUGAGGCGCGAAAGUGUGGGUAUCAAACAGGAUUAGAUACCCCAGUAGUC
This 460-nucleotide ribosomal RNA is filed under the name uncultured bacterium. Its description in RNAcentral is "partial 16S ribosomal RNA". It matches the Rfam family "Bacterial small subunit ribosomal RNA", at positions 338 to 795 of the family's 1533-position model. The record is from RNAcentral.